GACGAACGCUGGCGGCGUGCUUAACACAUGCAAGUCGAACGGAAAGGCCCCUUUGGGGGUACUCGAGUGGCGAACGGGUGAGUAACACGUGAGUAACCUGCCCUUGACUUCGGGAUAACUUCAGGAAACUGGGGCUAAUACCGGAUAGGAAUCCUUGCUGCAUGGUGGGGGUUGGAAAGCUUCGGCGGUUUUGGAUGGACUCGCGGCGUAUCAGCUUGUUGGUGGGGUAGUGGCUUACCAAGGCUUUGACGGGUAGCCGGCCUGAGAGGGCGACCGGCCACAUUGGGACUGAGAUACGGCCCAGACUCCUACGGGAGGCAGCAGUGGGGAAUAUUGCACAAUGGGCGGAAGCCUGAUGCAGCAACGCCGCGGGCGGGAGGACGGCCUUCGGGUUGUAAACCGCUUUCAGCAGGGGCGAAGCUUGUGGUGACGGUACCUGCAGAAGAAGCACCGGCUAACUACGUG
This 465-nucleotide ribosomal RNA is filed under the name uncultured bacterium. RNAcentral describes it as "partial 16S ribosomal RNA". It matches the Rfam family "Bacterial small subunit ribosomal RNA", at positions 28 to 507 of the family's 1533-position model. The record is from RNAcentral.